Aethina tumida (small hive beetle) is the source of this 583-nucleotide long non-coding RNA. RefSeq lists it as uncharacterized. The record is from RefSeq and is a predicted model, not a curated record. NCBI's taxonomy places the organism in Eukaryota, Metazoa, Arthropoda, Insecta, Coleoptera, Nitidulidae. The transcript is spliced from 2 exons.
CACACGCACAAAAUGUUCCAGAAACUUUGGCUGAAAUGAGUCAGGGUUCCGAAUUGCCGUUAGUUGUGCGGUUGGAAUUUGCCAGGGAAUCAUGGGAACUGUUUACUGUAUAUGUUUGAGUUUUACACAUUCAAAUUAAAAGUGAAUUCAGUUUAGAAGAGAUGGUUGGCAGCAGUGGCCGGUUUCAAGUGGUCGCCGAGUAGAUAGGAGGCGGCGCCCCCCGUUGCCCCUAGGAGAGAUGUGAAGGGAGAGGAUAAGGCGGCGGCGGCGGCCGCGGCGGCGUGCGACCCGUGGUGGCCCUGGAGAUGGGAGGGCUGCGACGACAGGACUUUGUUCGCCUGUUGGACGAGCAGGGCGGUGUUGCAGGACUGCGGACUCAUCGAGGACCACUUGUUAUUGUUGCUGAUCAACACGUCGUCCGACAGUUUUCCUGGAAACAACACAAAAUUAUUUUACCACAACGAAACACUAAUUAAAAUUUAAAUGAGUAAUAAAAUUUCAAUUAAUAUUUAACGUAAAUAGUGCCACAAUUAUAACAAAAUUAUAGUGCAAUAUUUAUUGUAAAUAUAAGUUGAUAAUGUUU